This 222-nucleotide non-coding RNA is filed under the name Gelidibacter algens. Lineage: Bacteria; Pseudomonadati; Bacteroidota; Flavobacteriia; Flavobacteriales; Flavobacteriaceae. The record is from RNAcentral.
CUAUCUUUACAGCUUAUUGGUUUUACACCAUUGUUUGAGAAAUAACGGUGAAAUUAAAAGGGAAUUCUGUUAAAAUCAGAAGCUGUUCCCGCAACUGUACGCUUAGUCCCAUUUUUUUGGGAUGCUUAUUGUGAAAACUACUUACCACUGUCACCACAUGCGUGAUGGGAAGGUGCACACUAAGACGCAAGCCAGGAGACCUGCCAAUGCAACAACUUUUAA